RNAcentral lists this ribosomal RNA (1578 nucleotides) under Staphylococcus aureus. RNAcentral describes it as "partial 23S ribosomal RNA". It matches the Rfam family "Bacterial large subunit ribosomal RNA", at positions 1284 to 2860 of the family's 2925-position model. The record is from RNAcentral. Lineage: Bacteria; Bacillati; Bacillota; Bacilli; Caryophanales; Staphylococcaceae.
AGAAGUGAGAAUGCCGGUGUGAGUAGCGAAAGACGGGUGAGAAUCCCGUCCACCGAUUGACUAAGGUUUCCAGAGGAAGGCUCGUCCGCUCUGGGUUAGUCGGGUCCUAAGCUGAGGCCGACAGGCGUAGGCGAUGGAUAACAGGUUGAUAUUCCUGUACCACCUAUAAUCGUUUUAAUCGAUGGGGGGACGCAGUAGGAUAGGCGAAGCGUGCGAUUGGAUUGCACGUCUAAGCAGUAAGGCUGAGUAUUAGGCAAAUCCGGUACUCGUUAAGGCUGAGCUGUGAUGGGGAGAAGACAUUGUGUCUUCGAGUCGUUGAUUUCACACUGCCGAGAAAAGCCUCUAGAUAGAAAAUAGGUGCCCGUACCGCAAACCGACACAGGUAGUCAAGAUGAGAAUUCUAAGGUGAGCGAGCGAACUCUCGUUAAGGAACUCGGCAAAAUGACCCCGUAACUUCGGGAGAAGGGGUGCUCUUUAGGGUUAACGCCCAGAAGAGCCGCAGUGAAUAGGCCCAAGCGACUGUUUAUCAAAAACACAGGUCUCUGCUAAACCGUAAGGUGAUGUAUAGGGGCUGACGCCUGCCCGGUGCUGGAAGGUUAAGAGGAGUGGUUAGCUUCUGCGAAGCUACGAAUCGAAGCCCCAGUAAACGGCGGCCGUAACUAUAACGGUCCUAAGGUAGCGAAAUUCCUUGUCGGGUAAGUUCCGACCCGCACGAAAGGCGUAACGAUUUGGGCACUGUCUCAACGAGAGACUCGGUGAAAUCAUAGUACCUGUGAAGAUGCAGGUUACCCGCGACAGGACGGAAAGACCCCGUGGAGCUUUACUGUAGCCUGAUAUUGAAAUUCGGCACAGCUUGUACAGGAUAGGUAGGAGCCUUUGAAACGUGAGCGCUAGCUUACGUGGAGGCGCUGGUGGGAUACUACCCUAGCUGUGUUGGCUUUCUAACCCGCACCACUUAUCGUGGUGGGAGACAGUGUCAGGCGGGCAGUUUGACUGGGGCGGUCGCCUCCUAAAAGGUAACGGAGGCGCUCAAAGGUUCCCUCAGAAUGGUUGGAAAUCAUUCAUAGAGUGUAAAGGCAUAAGGGAGCUUGACUGCGAGACCUACAAGUCGAGCAGGGUCGAAAGACGGACUUAGUGAUCCGGUGGUUCCGCAUGGAAGGGCCAUCGCUCAACGGAUAAAAGCUACCCCGGGGAUAACAGGCUUAUCUCCCCCAAGAGUUCACAUCGACGGGGAGGUUUGGCACCUCGAUGUCGGCUCAUCGCAUCCUGGGGCUGUAGUCGGUCCCAAGGGUUGGGCUGUUCGCCCAUUAAAGCGGUACGCGAGCUGGGUUCAGAACGUCGUGAGACAGUUCGGUCCCUAUCCGUCGUGGGCGUAGGAAAUUUGAGAGGAGCUGUCCUUAGUACGAGAGGACCGGGAUGGACAUACCUCUGGUGUACCAGUUGUCGUGCCAACGGCAUAGCUGGGUAGCUAUGUGUGGACGGGAUAAGUGCUGAAAGCAUCUAAGCAUGAAGCCCCCCUCAAGAUGAGAUUUCCCAACUUCGGUUAUAAGAUCCCUCAAAGAUGAUGAGGUUAAUAGG